UCCUACCACUAGAGCCCUUGCAGGUGUGGCUAUGUCACCUGUAACCAUCAGUAGGAGGCAGAGAGGAGCAAGCCUAUGUCUACAGUGCUCUGACCUGCGAACAUCUGAACGAUUGAUUAGUAGUAGCCUU
RNAcentral lists this small nucleolar RNA (130 nucleotides) under Mus caroli (Ryukyu mouse). RNAcentral describes it as "predicted gene, 22428 (MGP_CAROLIEiJ_G0036662.1)". It matches the Rfam family "Small nucleolar RNA SNORA17". Rfam says of the family: snoRNA ACA 17 belongs to the H/ACA family of snoRNAs and is predicted to guide pseudouridylation of the 28S rRNA at positions U4659 and U4598. The record is from RNAcentral. Lineage: Eukaryota; Metazoa; Chordata; Mammalia; Rodentia; Muridae.